UCUAGUUCUAGUACUAGACAUCUGGUCUAGAGGAAGACGCUGUCUGUCCAAAACAGACCGGAUUUGAAGUUCUAAGCAAAUGCCACUCUUCUCUCAUCGCCAUUCCCCUUCCCUCCCCACAUCUUCCUCUAAAACCAUCAAGCCCAAUAAACCCGUUUUUACUCCUCCCUCCUCUCGUUAUCCCUUGCACCUCCUCGUUUUUUCACUUGUUUCCCUUCUCAUCGGCCUUGCUGCCAUAAUAUUUGCCAUCUCCGCAGUCCGCCGGUCCCGGCCCUUGCCGGUUUUUCGCUGUGGUAGAUCCGAAGACACUUUCCGGGAAUUCUACUCGAGCUCGGGUUCUAACAAGCUUGGAGAUAAUAAUGAGGCGCUGAAUAAUCGGCCUAAGCUUCUUGGGUUCGUUGGGAUUCAAACUGGGUUCGCUUCCGUUAAUCGUCGUGAUGCUCUUAGAAGUACUUGGUUCCCUUCUGAUCCAGAUGGGCUUUUGAGGUUAGAGCAAGCUACUGGUUUAGCAUUUAGGUUUGUAAUAGGGCGAUCAAAAGAUACAAAGAAGAUGGCACGACUUGAGAAAGAAAUUGAGAAGUACAGAGAUUUCAUGCUGAUUGAUGUUGAGGAAGAAUAUCUAAGGCUUCCAUACAAAACGUUGGCAUUUUUCAAGGCAGCAUAUAAGCUUUUUGAAGCAGAAUAUUAUGUUAAAGCUGAUGAUGACAUCUAUUUGCGUCCAGAUCGACUUGCAACUCUGCUCGCUAAGGAAAGAACCCAUUCAAUGACCUAUAUUGGGUGCAUGAAGAAAGGGCCAGUGAUCACUGACCCUAAAAUGAAGUGGUAUGAAAAUUCUGGACAUCUGAUUGGAAAUGAGUACUUUUUGCAUGCUUAUGGCCCUAUAUAUGUUCUUUCAGCAGAGGUUGUGGCUUCUUUAGCUGCUGCUAGAAACAACAGCUUUCAGUUUGAGAAUGUUCAACAAUGAGGAUGUCACUAUUGGUUCAUGGAUGCUUGCUAUGAAUGUUCACCAUGAAGAUAACCGAGCAAUCUGUGAUCCUCGAUGCACUCCGACAUCUAUCGCAGUUUGGGACAUUCCUAAAUGUUCAGGUUUAUGCAAUCCCGCUGCUCGGAUGAAAGAGCUUCACAAGAUUGAUAUGUGUUCGAAAAGCCCCACAUUGCAGGCCGAUGAUAGAUAGUCUCUCUGUUUUGUUCAUCUUCCGUUGUAUUCACACAUGGCAAGUGGAGCUGUUUUGCUGGGAAAGCAAUUAUAUUCUUGAAACAGCUUUGGGAAGAAAGGUGGCUUCAGCAUUCUACCCCAGAAUUAUUUAUGUAAAAAAGUUCUUAAACAUAAAAACAGUAAGUAUGUACGAUAUGGAUACCAGAUCUACAUCGGAGCAACCAUUAUGAUCAUGACAGACUGGAUCAGAUCGGAGUUUGAUGAAAUAUAUCUACUGUGAUCUGAUUAUUUUUGUCAAGCAGAUUUGUCACAUGAUUUGCAUAAAUCACGUGUUUAUAUAAAUAUUAAUUUUUUAGUUAUUAAUUAUGCGAUGAAUGAAUAU
Molecule: RNA transcript, 1538 nt
Organism: Manihot esculenta (cassava)
Lineage: Eukaryota; Viridiplantae; Streptophyta; Magnoliopsida; Malpighiales; Euphorbiaceae
Gene name: probable beta-1,3-galactosyltransferase 12
Exons: 7
Source: RefSeq, a predicted model, not a curated record